RNAcentral lists this ribosomal RNA (120 nucleotides) under Leptobrachium leishanense (Leishan spiny toad). Lineage: Eukaryota; Metazoa; Chordata; Amphibia; Anura; Megophryidae. The record is from RNAcentral.
GUCUACGGCCAUACCAUCCUUGAAAGCGCAUGAUCCCGUCAGAUCUCAAAUGCAAUCAAGGGUAGGGCUUGUUCAGUACCAGUGUGGGUGACUGACUGGGAAUAGCAAGUGCUGUAGUCC